AUUGAACGCUGGCGGCAUGCCUUACACAUGCAAGUCGAACGGCAGCAUGGGUGCUUGCACCUGAUGGCGAGUGGCGAACGGGUGAGUAAUGCAUCGGAACGUACCCAGUCGUGGGGGAUAACGUAGCGAAAGUUACGCUAAUACCGCAUACGUCCUGAGGGAGAAAGCGGGGGACCGUAAGGCCUCGCGCGAUUGGAGCGGCCGAUGUCGGAUUAGCUAGUUGGUGGGUAAAGGCCUACCAAGGCGACGAUCCGUAGCGGGUCUGAGAGGAUGAUCCGCCACACUGGGACUGAGACACGGCCCAGACUCCUACGGGAGGCAGCAGUGGGGAAUUUUGGACAAUGGGCGAAAGCCUGAUCCAGCCAUGCCGCGUGAGUGAAGAAGGCC
Molecule: ribosomal RNA, 387 nt
Filed under: uncultured bacterium
Lineage: Bacteria
Description: bacterial SSU rRNA
Rfam family: Bacterial small subunit ribosomal RNA
Source: RNAcentral